AAUGCCCGAGACCGGCGCACGGGUGAGUAACGCGUAUGCAACCUACCUUCUACAGGGGGAUAGCCCAGGGAAACUUGGAUUAAUACCGCAUAGUUCCUGUAUCCUGCAUAGGAUUAAGGAUAAAGAUUUAUCGGUAGAAGAUGGGCAUGCGUGACAUUAGGUAGUUGGCGGGGUAACGGCCCACCAAGCCGACGAUGUCUAGGGGUUCUGAGAGGAUGAUCCCCCACACUGGUACUGAGACACGGACCAGACUCCUACGGGAGGCAGCAGUGAGGAAUAUUGGUCAAUGGGCGCAAGCCUGAACCAGCCAUCCCGCGUGAAGGAUGAAGGCCCUAUGGGUCGUAAACUUCUUUUAUAUGCCAAGAAAGGUGCCCACGCGUGGGUAUUUGACGGUAGUAUAUGAAUAAGCAUCGGCUAACUCCGUGCCAGCAGCCGCGGUAAUACGGAGGAUGCGAGCGUUAUCCGGAUUCAUUGGGUUUAAAGGGUGCGUAGGCGGUUCUUUAAGUCAGUGGUGAAAUCCUGCGGCUCAACCGUAGAACAGCCAUUGAUACUGAAGGACUUGAAUAUAAUUGAGGUAAGCGGAAUGAGUAGUGUAGCGGUGAAAUGCUUAGAUAUUACUCAGAACACCAAUUGCGAAGGCAGCUUACCAAGCUAUAAUUGACGCUGAGGCACGAAAGCGUGGGGAUCGAACAGGAUUAGAUACCCUGGUAGUCCACGCCGUAAACGAUGUUCACUCGCUGUUUGCGAUAUACAGUAAGCGGCCAAGCGAAAGCAUUAAGUGAACCACCUGGGGAGUACGU
This 800-nucleotide ribosomal RNA is filed under the name uncultured Bacteroidota bacterium. Its description in RNAcentral is "bacterial SSU rRNA". It matches the Rfam family "Bacterial small subunit ribosomal RNA", at positions 84 to 885 of the family's 1533-position model. The record is from RNAcentral. Lineage: Bacteria; Pseudomonadati; Bacteroidota.